This is a long non-coding RNA of Vespa mandarinia (Asian giant hornet), 500 nucleotides long. Lineage: Eukaryota; Metazoa; Arthropoda; Insecta; Hymenoptera; Vespidae. The record is from RefSeq and is a predicted model, not a curated record.
GUUAUCCCUAAAAGCUUGAAAAGCGAAAGCAAUUAAUUUCAAGGACAGAUUCGACGGAGGAACAUCGAUCUUACAAGCUUCUUUUACACAUUCGACGAUGAGUUGUCACGAAGAGAGCUUGUAUCUAAGGAAGAGAAAAUGUUUCAACAUAAACUCUCUCUUCGUAGGAAAGGCUUUUGCUUGUUCCUACCAUAGGGCGACAAUAUAUACGAAGACGGUAUAAGAAACUUUAUCUCCGGUACACAAAGUAAGAAUGAACACCGUUGUCAAGAUACGGAAGUCAUAAUAAUUUUUGUUGUAUCAACGGAAAUCGAUAUUUUUAGUCUAAUAAACACGGAUAGAGGAUAUCAAUAGGAAUCCAACAAGCAUCUACAGUGUACCUUUACAUCGACAUUUCAUUGAAUUACGGUGCAUUGAAGUUUAACAAGCUGUGUAAUCGCAAUAAUACGAACAAUUUUCUCAACCAAAUUACUCUAAUAAACGAUGAAUUCAUAAAUCAA